This is a long non-coding RNA of Venturia canescens, 737 nucleotides long. RefSeq lists it as uncharacterized. The transcript is spliced from 3 exons. NCBI's taxonomy places the organism in Eukaryota, Metazoa, Arthropoda, Insecta, Hymenoptera, Ichneumonidae. The record is from RefSeq and is a predicted model, not a curated record.
CCGUGGCUGCACGCCUCUGCAUUGUUUGCAAGAUUAUUUUUCAUUGUCAGCGAAUUCCGUUGAGCUCUGCACUUUUUUAAUCGCUAAGCUAAAUUCGUCGAAUCAAACGAAACUUUGAUUACCAGUAAUCUCCGCUACACAACAGCAGCCAGGCUGCACAGCAACUCCUCCGUUUGGAUAAAAAUCAGCAUCACCAAUCGGCUGCAGCCAACCCAAUAUCCCUCCACAGGAAUGUAUUACGUCGACGAAAUCGGCGUCGGUGCUAUCGAGACGGCCAGUGGCCGCUGCGAGAAUGUGAAACCCUGGCAAAGCCGGAUCUAGUCCAGUUACUCGACCUAAUUUUCCAGACCUGACGGACGCUCCUGUAUUUCCGGCCACAUGAGCUCCUAGCGAGUGUCCUGCCGGUUUCUUCGACCAAAUAAUCGAUGAAACGUCCAGCUUCACUUCCGACUCUUCCGGUAUUUCGCAUUGGUCCAAGAUAAAAAGUGCUCGAUGCCAAGGGCUCCCAGUCGACCAAAAACACAUUGUAAUCGCCAUGAUUGAUAUCUACAAAGGAAUAAUGCGGUAAAAUUUUUUCUGAUCGAUGUGUUAAAGUACCUUGUGAAGAGCAGAAAAUGGAUGGCUUGAUCAUCCAAUAUACUGCGAGACUCGGGUUCUUGUCCUUUGAGAAUGGCAACUUGAGGUUUUUCAUUUCCAUCUGGCAUAAAAAUCCACUCUUCGCCAUAACCGUCAUAACG